UCGUUCUUGGUCAAAUACUUGCAAACGGGACCGAGCCCGUAAAGCCGUUCAACGCCGUCGCCGUCAGGGAGUGUACGGAGGGAGCAGGUGAGGAUGGAGUAAGCCGCAAGAAGCCGGAGGAUACGGUCGAGCAUGACCGGAGCUUCAGGGUUUUUGGUCGGGAGAUGGGAAGCGACCUCAGAGGGAGACAUGGGAGAAGAGUUCUUGGCCAUGAUCUCGAGAAUUCCGAGCUCUAUAACCGGUUUUAAAGCCAUCGGAAUAACAGGGGCAUGGGCUAGCUGCAUGGCGAAGAGGGCAGUUUCGUCGUCAUCGGUAACUUGCACCGGAGUUAUCUGCGUCUCAGCCAUCGUUCCCAUUCCCUCUUUGAGUAUUUUCUUAUUGAACUUUUUGGUUUCUAGAUCUGUGUGAUGGGUGAGAAGGGAGGAAGAUGAGAGGUUCAUUUAUUGGAAAAAUAGGAGACCGGCCGGCCCCAAUAAACUCAAGCCUUUAAAAGAAUUAUGAAGAAGAGAAAAAAAAAAUUAUGAAGAAGAGAUCGCAUGCAGUGGCCCAAGAAAAUCAAAUGUAUUCCUGAUCAGAUAAUAAACCCAAACAAAUUAUGACUAAAUUAGCUUUGAUAUCUCCAUCUAUGAAGACAUUUUCAUUUUGCUCAACAAUAAUAUAUUUCGAUAACAGAAUGAAUUUACAGUCUACUACCGCAAAAGUUAUAUAUUUUGCCAGCAGUUUUUCUCUAAAGAUAGGAAAUUUUUAUGACCAAUUUUCUAUGCAAUUUUGACGAAAAGUAAAAGUGAUAGGAAAUUGGUAGGAAAUUUCCUACCAAAUAUUUUGUCAAAAUUUCAUAGGAUAUUUCCUACCAAUAACUUAUCACGUGGUCAAAAUUUAAAAGGAAAGUGGUAAGGCCAAUGGCGGGUAAGUAUUUCAUAGAAAAUUUCCUACCAAUUUUUGACGACAAAUUAUGUGUAAGAAAAUCGUAGGAAUUUGGUAGGAAAUUUUCAAAUGUGGGACAAAUAAUAAAGAAGCUGCUCUAUAAAUAAGACAUUCAUCUUCUUUUUAAUUAAUUUGUUUUUUUUAUAUAUAAUAUAUAUAUAGUAUCUCUAUAUAUAGUAAUAAUUGAAUUAAUAAUUAAUUCAUUUUUUAGUUUAAAUUUAAUUUAAUUUUUAAUUUUAAAAAAUAAUUAUUUUUUUUACAAAAUCUGGCAAAUGGUAGAAAAAUAGUAGGAAUAUUUGAAAUUGGAAAGAAUGAAACUGAAGGAAGAUGGAAGUAAUUUCGUAGGUACUUUCCUACGAAUAUCCUAACGCAAAAAUUUUCCUACCAAAAUUUUCGUAGAAAAUUUCUUACGAUUUUUUACCUUUUAAAAUUUCCGACGGCAUAAAACUUACAAAAAUAUUUGGUAGGAAAUUGGUAGGAAAAGCCAAUUUCCUACAAUUUUCUGAUGAAAUAUAUAGUAGAAAUAUGUGAUGUUUUCUUGUAGUAGUGUAAUAAAAUAAUUAUUUUGUUUAUCAUUAGCCUUCGAUCAAAAAAAAAUGUCAAUCAUUAGCCGGGAAAACAAAUAUGCUACGAAGCACAGAAUUUUAUAAGAACUCUAAAGAAUGUUCAAAUUCUCUCAUUAAGUCCUUUUUCAAUACCAAACUAUUUCAGAGAAUAUACAUUUGUUAACUCGGCGAUAAUACUUAUUUUAAUGAUAUAGCUAAUAGACGAAUCGAAUUUCGUUAAAUAAUGCUCAAUUUCUAUUUUUAUAAAUUAAACAAAUCGCCAUAGAAACAGCGACACGCGAUCGAAAAUGGCAAUAUGCAGAGAUUAAAAGAGAGAAAACAAAGAAAAUAACAAUUUUUACCAAAAAAAAAAUAAAUAAAAAAAAAUAACAAGAGACCAAAACGGCAAAACCACCUGUCCGCAGAAAGAUAACCCUUUUCGACAAGUGGCAAACCCUAACAUGCUCGACAACACUUAGAGCAGGUCACAAGUUUUUAGGAAUUUUGGGUUAAAAAUAAAAGAAAAAAAAGAUACUGAAGGAUCGGUUCAUCAGAUCGACUUUGAUAACCCCGUAUCCGUACCACAUGGCGAAAAUGUAUUGGGCGAGAAUGAAUGGUAAUUUUGCGGUGAAAAAAAAUUUUCAAGGGGAAAAAUUCUUUUUUUCUUUCCCGAGUCUUUCUUUCUCUCUUCCUCUUCUCCGGCGCUGAAUCCGUCGCAAUCCGGAGAUGUAAUCCGGUGAAUUCUCUCGCUCUUUUUGAUAACAAUCGAUAUUGGUUUGGAGGAUUUGCAGUGGGUUUGGUAUUGAUUGGUAUUGUAUUUCGUUUUCCUGUGUUUGUAGAUUCUUAUGAGUAGAUGCGUUAUCUCUUUUGUUAACAAUGGCUAAUGUCACCGCAUACUCGGAUGUGCUUGUGGUGAAUAUGGUUGGUGGCCUUGUCACUGGAGCAGUGGCCGAACGAUUAGGAGGUAUAGAGCUUUUCUUGAUACAAUCUCUGCUGCAUUUAGGAUUUGCUGUUGAUUAUUUAUGCAACAAUGUCCCUUGCUAUUGUGUGCAUUAUAUGUAAAUUCCUAUUUAACAGGCACUGGUUAUAUUUGCAAUACAUACAAGGGAAAUUAUCCUUCUCCUGUGGAAAUGGUUAGGAUGUUCAACUUUAAUGACAAGGUUAUAGAGAGGUAUGUUCGAUUUUCUCCUAGUCUUUUUUGUCUCUGUAGAUUGUUAUUGAAGCCGUUCUGUGUGUAAAAUAUAUUUGUAAUUGACCCUUUCUGUGUGCAGGAUCGUGCAGUCAUCUAUAAACGAGCUCUCAUCAGCCAAAACUGUAUCUCCUGAAGAAAACAAUAAACAAGAAAGAGUUUAUAACGCUGAGAUUAAUAUCAAUGCAAGUUGCCAACCUGUACCGUUUCACCUUAGUCUUAAUAUGAGAACUCUUUUGGUUAUAACAGAAGGUUUUUAUUUGAAAAUUACAGGAACCAUCUACAUCUGAUGUUGUAGAAGAGAAAUCUGUGAUAUCUGAGGCUAUGGUAGUAGAUAUUGUUGCCCCAGAGACCAAAAUCAUCAAGGCCCCAAAAGCUGGAGCCAAGGCUUCGAAAGAAGCAAUAGAAAUGUGGCAAGAAAACGGUUUCUCUAGGUAAGUAAAUGUAAGUGUUUCUCUGAAUGAAAUUAGUUUCGGUUAAUAAAUGCCUGAAACUUGUCUGUUUGAUUUGCAGUCUAAUCAUGGCUGCACAAGACCAAGACCCAUGGAGCUUAGCUAAAGAUGUAUUGCCUCUGCUCUCUUGCCGCUGGCGACAUGUAUGCACAACCUUCAGCAGGGGAAGAUGGCGAUCAAUCUGCAAAUAACAGAACCAUGACUACGUGAAUAUCAGGUCUGAUCAAAUUUUCUUUUCUUUUGUUUCCCAAUAUAUUAUUCGAUCAACAGGUGCUGAUAUAUUAAAAUGCAGGUGCUUCCUUCAAGAACUCACCCUCACAUGCAAAUGAGUUCUUUUGGAGGCUAUGUUCUGAGCGGCAUCAGAAUCUCUACCACUUGAUUCUUGUUUGCAAACCUCAUGAUUCUUAUAGUUCUCAAUAACUGAGGUUUGAUGUUUGAUCUUUCCUUUCAGAAAGGUCUUUGUAUUUGUAUGUUGUUAAGAUAGAGGGCUGAGAUUAUAGGAAAACUUUCAUGUUGAUCUUUUCAAUCUAAUCUAUAUAGUUUAUUGAUUAAUGAUCGUUAUGGUUUAUUGCAAAUUGUACAAAAUCUUAGAAAGUAGAAAUCUUUAUGAAAUUCACUAACCUAAAUGAAAAUAUCAUCAUCAUUACCAUUGGCUCAGUUUCAUAAAGAUUAUGAAACAUUAAAUUUACACAAUAUAUAUUUUCAAUAAUAAUUUUUUUUUUGGUGAUGAACUCCAUUUUCAGGUUCAGUAAUGGAACCCAAAAAUUGAUCUAGGUUCUUCCCAAACCUUUUAAAAAAAAAUUUAAUUUUUUAAUCUGAUGAACCUCAUAUACAGGUUUAGUUUGCAUUCUCAGUUUCUCACUGCACCUACAUACUUACAUAGGACAUAACGUCUUCUAUAUUAUCAUCUUUCUAGUCAUCCAAAACUCACGUUUUGUAACCGUACUACUUUUGGUGAAGAAAUUGGACAAAUGCAACUUUUUAUGGCUGUUGUAUUUCUGAGUUAAAGAUAAAAUGUAACCAAGAGUUUUGGUGGUGGCCUAAACGAGAACGUACACAUGCAAUAAGUCAUUAUCUUACCUCAUGAACAACACAAUUUUUGGUUACUAUGCUUAAUAAUCCUCGAUCGUGAUUUUUUAUAAACGUUAUAUUACGUCAGAUAUUAUAUUAUACAAGAUAUCACAACAGUCAUACCGAUUAUUUUCAGUAAAUCUUUUGUGUUUAAAAGGCUCAGAUAAAACUUUAGGAAAUCAAGGUAAUCUCUAGACUCUACAUAAGACUCUGAUCGUCUAUAUAUAGCAAGAGGAUAUCUUCAAUAUAUAUGGCAGGAAGAUUUUAUCAAUAUAUAUGGCAAGAGGAUUUUUUUCAAUUCAUGUGUGGGAUCGUGUAAUCUGUUUUCAUCAAUGCAAUCCCCGAUUGGUCAACAUGAAAUGUAACCGCGACUUUAGAGUACAUACAAAAUAUGUUUAGUAUUGUAAUUGAAAAUAGUGCACUAUACACAUACCGACUUAGCUGCCACAAUCCAAAAGCAAUUUAUUUUUUCUAUUCGGUCAAGAUCUCUUCCAACAUUAUAUUCUAUAUUUUCCAUCUUGAUAUAUAAAUAUUUUAGUUUUAUUAAACCUGUUCAACAAGCCCGCGGUCCAACCAAAAUGGUGCUCCAAGAAAAAAAAAUGUGGCCAUUUGUAAACUCUAAAUUUUAAAAAACAAUGAAUGUGUGGACCAUCAAAAACUAUAAAAAUUGAGGCCCUAGGCGAUGACCUAGCCUGCCCGAGUCUGCUGUUCACUAAAAACACAUGUCGAAUUAUCUUGAAGUAUAGUUAAUAAUGUUGUUAUUAAUGUAUAGAAAUUUUGUCAGCUUUACCUUACAGUAAUUUACUAUUUUAAUAAAGUUUAUGUUUUCCGUCUACAUAUGAUAAUACGAUCCUUUUUGUUAAAGAUGAUUAUUGAUGCAAAUUUAACGGAAAGCUCGUCUGCAAGAGCAACUAGCAAUGGUUGUAUCAAUUAUAAUUAUUAUGGGUAGGUAUUGAUCAUGCAUGUAGAUAGCCUUUCAAUAAAUUUCUUUCAAUUCAACAAUAAUUCACUAUCCCCCUUACUGGGUCCGCUUCUGGGUAGGUAUUGAUCCUGCAAGUAGCUAGAUAGACUUUUCAGUAAAUUUCUUUCAAUUCAACAAUGUGUAUUGCAUCAUUUUUUAAUUGCAUCAUAAAAAUAAAUGAUAUUAUUUUGCUUCAUUCAUUAAUAAUUGAUAUAAAAAAUAUAAUUUAACAUCAGUCAUAUAAUUGAUUUUAUUAUUAGUUAUUUUAAUAGCAAUUCAAUAAUAAAUAAUAUAAAAUUUCAUUAAUUUGGAUUAUUUUAUGAAAAAAAUUACAAAAUAUUAAUGCACUCACUUAGAUAAUUGAUGUAACUAUUUUUAAUUUUUGCUAAUAUUAUUUAAAAAUUAUACAAAAAUAUAUCAAUAAAAAUGAUGUUAGUAAAUUUUUAGUUAUCUUUGAUAUUUGUUCUACAUCAACAACUAAGAGAGAAAGCGAAAAGUUUUGUUUUUUUUUAUUCAACAAUCUAAAUAUUUAGAAUGGUUCGACAAACCAAACCAAUAGUACUAAGUUUACAUAAAUAAUAUCAUAAAGGUAGACUCGAGCAAUUCUUGCUAGAUUGUCUGCUUUCAAAUUUUUUGUACGUGGGAUAUACGAUAUUGAAUAACUAAUAAAAAAUUAAUAAAAAAAUUAUAUAUUUUCAAAAAAUCAAUAUUGAUGUGUUAUAUAUAUGUAAAAAUUUAAAAUUAUUUAUAAAAUAAUUCAUAAAUUAAUACUAAAAUAAUUUAUAAUUAUUAUAUAUAUUUUAAAAUCAAUAAUUAUCAUUAUUAAUAUUAAUUGAUGCAAGAUUUUUAAAUUUUUUGCAACCGACACAAAUUAACAUUGACUAUCAUAACUGAUGCAAUAUUUACAUUAUUUACUUAAACUAAUGCAAAUAUUUACAUUAGUUGUUUAAUUGAUGUAAAAUACUUACAGUGGCGGACAUGUCAAAUUUAUAUUUUAUUAUUUUGGUAAUAGUAUUCGAAGAUAACAGCUUAUUUGGUUCAUCCAACCUUUUUAAACAUUUUACUUUAGGUUUGAAUCCUGAGAUAACAUUAAUUUUUUUAAUAUGUUUGCACCCUUUUAAAAUUAAUCUUGGAUCUGCUACUAUGCACAAUUGAUGUAAAUAUUUGAAUAACCAUUUUCAGAAUCAUUAAAAAUUAAUUUAAAUAUAUAAGGUACAUGAUGUGAAACCCAUUUUUUGGUAGUUGUAGGUUGUAAACUUGUACUAAUCAUAUAAGAGAGAAACGAUGCAAUCGAAUUGAUGAUACUAAAGUAAAACCCACUCCACGUCUACAAAUGCACCUAUAAUAUGACUGUAUGAAUAUACGUUUUUACUUUUUACUUAUAAAUAUUUUUAAAUAUAUAAGACAAGUCGAAGUCUCAAGUUGAGAUAAGAUGUAAAAUAUUUUUUUUUCUGUGUAAAGAAAAAUAUUUGUGAAGGAAUAGUUAGAAACUUAGAGUAUCUCCAUUGGUGAGAAACUCUAAAAAAUAUCUUAAAUAAAAAAUAUUAAUAUUUAAUUAAAAUUUUAUUAUUUCAUUAAAUUUCAAUUUAAAAAGCAAAUUUGAAUCAUUUUAAAAAUGACACAAGUGUUUUAGAGUUUUCAUUGGGUUUCUAUAAGUUUUCGUUUGAAAAACCUAUCUCAUUCUCUCUUUUUUUUCUAUUAUCUUUUUUUUAUAUAUAAUAAGAGAUUUUGAUGAGAACCUCUCAAUGGAAGUGGUCGAACGUAUUAAAUAUUUAAGUUAAUUGUAAUAAAAUUGGGAAUUUUGAUAACACACGCCAGCUGAAUGGCUGAUGCCAUGACACGUCUUGCGAACGCAAAAAUCUCGAGUAAACUUUUGUUUUCAUGCUGCUGCAUCAGUAUUUUAGUCUUUCUCUACUAUUUUUUUUUUUAAGAACUGGAAAAUGACUUUCGAAGUAAAUUUUCUUUCAGAUAAAUUUACAAGAUGGAAUAUCCAAAAUUCUGUAGUUUAACAAAAAAAAAAUAGGUCUACACGAUUGUACAGAAAGUUUUCUAUUGAUUUAUAUACGAGUUUAAAAUCUUAGCACUUAUUAGUGUUCGUUUUUUGUUUUCUAUUAUGGUAGAUUCCAAACUGUUUUAAAUCUACGGCUUAGAAUUUGCUGUCGAAAUUUUGUCUUAAGAUUGGGCGUUUUUACAUAGAGAUAUUAUCAUAUAUGAACCAGUCAAAAGACACAGUUCACCAUAUUAGAAAUCUCUAGAGAUCUCUAGAUUUUCUCCACUCUUUAAAUUUCAACUUUGUUGUAGAGUUCUCCUCAUUAUUUUAUCAACUCUUUCAAGCUAUAUUCAUUUAAUUUGAAAGCCAUUUAUCCCAAAAAAAAAAGGCACGAUCAAUCCUAAACCUUUCUUUAUAAAUUUGUUGUCUCUUAAACGCCAUGCACUUUGGCGUUUUUGGUCUCAUCCAUAAAAAUUCCAACCAACUCUGUCUCUAACCUCUAUAUUAUAUGGUUUGUAUAUAAACAUGUAUUAUAUAUAUAUUAUGCAUCAAUAAUUGGAAAAUUUUAGAAUAAGGAUUGUAAAGUUGCUAUAUGGUGGUAAGACAGGAAGGAAUUACUUGCCUAGCAUCAUAUAGACAACGAUACACUUUUUUCUUUCAAAUCCCACAAAACAACAUACAAAGUACAAACCAAAUACGUCGUCAUUUAGCAAAUGACUCCACGUGUGCAUGUAGAUAUGUAGUCUUCGAUUUACUAGUAAUAGUUUGUAAAAUAUUUAAAAGUUUGAGUUAUGACCAUUAAUCUGCGAGCUUCGCCAAAAUAGAAUUUUUCCCUACGGUUUGGAUCUACAAAAUUUAAAUUAAUAACGACAACUGAUGAAUGUUUGCACAUACAUUCAUGUUUCGCUCACACCAAUCAACUUCAAUGAUUUUAAAUCGUUUAGCUUGGCUUGUUUCAUACGUAAAUAUAAUUAUAUAUUUUCAAAUUAUAAAAAACCAAAUGGUAACAUCAUAUACAAGUGAUGUACGCUCAUUAAUUAUAUUUGCAUUUCACAUUCGAACAAAAAAGAUCAUAUAUGAUUUACAGAUACACUUUUUUUUUGCUUCGUAAAAUGCGUGGUAUAUAUAAUGUAAUUGCAAGGAUUCUAUAGAUUCAAUUACAAAUUAUUUAAAGUGUGAAUUAAAUAUAUUUAUACAUAUAUUUUUUUUUGGGUCAAGUGUGAAUUAAUUAUAUAAAAUGUGAAACUGUGUUACGAAAUCCAAAAGUAUAAUUCCGGCAAAAAAGAAAACGAAGAUACAAAAAGAUCGCGCUUUUGACAUUUGCUCACAAAGUUGAAAACUUAGCGAAACGAAAUACUCGCACAAUUACAAGAAUUUUCAAUUUAGCGUCAUUUGAUUUAGUAGUAAACAUAAUUUCCCACAAUUUCAUUAUUUUUUUGGUAACUUUGGAAUAAGUGUACAUAGUAGAAUUAGUUAAUAGUAACGCUUGACUCAUUUGAGAUUUAUAAAAGAUGGCGUACAUUACAAACUCUCUAUCAAUUAACUAGUUGAAAUUGUUAAACGUUCCGAGUCUUCUACCAAUGCAUUUUUAAAUUAAUUACUCCCUAAUUAUCAACUUGGAUAUACUUAAUUAUCAGACUCUUCGAGUUUUUCUUCUUCUCUUUUGUGUGUGUCACUGUGUAUAAGAAAACUUGAGUAGUGAGAAGAUGAAAGACUUCUGUGUCUUUAUAUAUAGAGGCGACCAUAUUCACUUUCAGUACGGAGUCAGAGAGAAAAGAGCUCGACUAUUUUCUAACAGCAAAAACCAACAUAUGCAGUGUACUGUAACGUCUGCGAUAAGCCUGCUCCUUGUGCACAGUGGAUGUCUUCGCAUUGUAAUGCUUCGGCGGAGUCUAUGCAGCGGAAAGUUACUAUGACUCUUGAGAGUGAGAGCUUUUACUAUGACUCCGAUUACGAUCAUCUUUGACUUGACUAGUAGAUCAACGUAACUAGCUUUGGAAGAGCAUGUAAUGACAAUGCGUAACUAAGUUUGAGAUUGUUAUUUAUGUACUUUGUUAAUCUUUGAAAUGCAUUUGCUUAGCUGAAUUUUUGCAUGUUGAAAUAAUUCGGUAUAGACCUCGGCAAGGGUCGAUUUCGAAUUUGGAAAGAAAGUAGAAAACAAAACGAUAUAUUUAAUAGAAAAGACCUAACUUUGAAACCAGCACCUUCUUGAAUCUUCGAACAAGUAAAAGAGUAUUUGUUCCCAAGUCCCAAACUUGCAACUUGCAAGCUUCAAAAUUCUCAGGCUUUUUGAAACAUAUCAGUUAGUAAAAGAUUAUGUUAAAUAAAGUUUUAAUAACAGAGUCGGGUUUAGGGGCGUUCAUAAGCCUUGACAAGGUUUAAAAGUGGAGUCAUGUAAAUUGUUAUAUAAAUUGUUGACAGAAACAAAUUUGUUAUACAAAUCAUAUAAAAAUAUUGCUAUUAAUAUUUAUAAAUUUGCUUAGACUUUCAUCAUUCGUCUACAUGAUGGAAAUAACAAUAUUAGAGCAUAUCCAUCAGUAUUUCUUAAAAGUUUUUUUGGCACAGUUUCAUAGAUGAAUUGAAUUAAAAAUAAAUAAAAAAUUCAUGUUUUCUAUAGAUCGCUCCUUAAAUAAGUAGCUGAAGAAGCUGUCUCUUAGGACAAGUGUCGAUUGGGAAUAAUUAUUUUUAUGAUUGAAUUAAUUUUAAUUUAAUAUUAUUUGCUCUUACUCUCAUUAGGGUUGGAACGGAGCCGGAUAUCCAGACUUUUCAAAGUAUCCGGAUCCGGCUCCGGAUUUAACGGAUAAUCAAUUUUAUUAUCCGGAUUCGGAUCCGAAAACUAAGACCGAAUAUCCGGUUUGAACCGAAGAUUUACUGAUAUCCGACCGGAUAUCCGGUUUCGUUGAUUUAAAAAAAAAACUUCAAUUUUUAAAAUUAUAAUGAGAUAACAUAUAUAAUUAAAAUGUAUUAUUAUAGCAAAAAUUACAAAUACCAAAAAUUUAAAAGCAUUCAAGUAGCAUUCAAAUAAUACAAAGUUUAAAAGUUUACAUAGCAAAGGAGAAAAUAGUAAUAGAAGUUAAUUUAUCUUCAUAUCCUUGUGUUAACUAUUUUCAUGGUCUUUUCUCACAAUCUGAAAUAGAAAAUUAUUAUGCAAUAUAAAUUUCAAUCAUGUGUAAUAGAGUUAAACCAAAAACAAUUUUCAAACAUAAUUAAAACAAAAAAUUAAAUGCAUAUCCAAAGAUUUCAAAAUUUUCAAAAUCUUAAUAAACGGAUAACGGAUAACGGAUAUCCGAUUUUAAAAUUUUCUAUUAUCCGGAUCCGUAUCCGAAAUAACCGAAUACUUAAUUUCACUAUCCGGAUCCGGAUUCGAACUACACGAAUAUCCAAUUUUUACGGAUCAGAUAGGACCGGAUACCGGAUCGGAUACCGGAUACCGGAUAAUAAUUCCAGCCCUAACUCUCACUCACACGUCUCUCUUUUAUUUGCUUCUUCAACAAAUAAUAUAUAUUUUUUUAAUAAACUCAAAUAAGAGUUCACUAAAAUAUUGCUAUUAAUGGAGGCAAAAAAAACAUAAGUCUCUUCACUAUUCUUAACUUCUCAAAAAUAUUAUUAAAGAAUUGCUAAGGAUUCCAUGUUGGAUUACAUUGAUAGAAAUGCUUUUAACAGUUAAUAAUGCAUUUGCUUAGACUUUCAUUAUUCGUCUGGUGAAAAAUAUUUCUCUAUCAAAAUCUCAUGGUCACAGUCAUGAUCACUCUCUCAAACACUCAUCUUCUCAGUGCGGGCUAGUCUAUUGGUUUAUAUAGACCUUGGCGAACAUUUUGGAAUCCAAAGGUGUUAACCCAUUGGGAUUUUCAGUCCCAAAUGUGCUACGUACCAUGAUCGAGUCAUACAUUUUUUGGACCCAUGGUCCCUAUUGAUCAUACUUGUAGUCUCCUUUUUUUGGUCAAAGGACAAUGCAAUCUUUAAUUGUAUCAGCACGAGAUAUAAACAGAGAAAUGAGUUUUUUUUCCCUUUCAUUAAAUAUUUAAUAAGCAACAAACAUAUCAUAGUCAAAAGGUCACGAAGUAGAAGUAGACAAAGAGGCAUAAGUAUUUAGCAUUAAGAGGGAAUUUAACUUCAGAUCUGCUUGAGAAACUCCACGAUGUAAACACCAAAGGCUUGGCAGAAAACUUGGAUCCCUUGGAAACCAGACUCUCUAGCUAGUGCCUCUAAUUCUUUCUUGGUCCGUUCUUUGCCUCCGAGGAUGUAAGCCAACAUAAUACAGUCUAUAUGGACGACAUGUUUAGUCAGGAGACUUGAGUCUGGGAUAUCUGGAGCUAUACAUUCUGCUAAUAUCACUUUUCCCUUAUCUGGAAGGGCCUUGUGGCAAUUCUUCAAGAGUUUCACACAGUGUUCCUCGCUCCAAUUAUGGCAUAUUCCCUGCCACAACAAGUAAAAAAAAAAGAUUUACUGAUUAGUUUGAUUUCGGUCCAGAUGAUCCGGCUAAAAAAAUAUAUCAAAGUUAGUUUAAAGUUUACUAACCUUCAUGAAAAUGGCAUCUCCCUUGGGGACAUUUACAAACAUAUCUCCUCCAACAUGCUCAAUGCCUGCAUUACUAAAUAUAAGCCAAUCUCUCAAUCAAAUCUAAAAAGUUUUGAUCUGAAUAAAUGGCAUAAAAAGUCUAAUAUACUACCGGGAUAAGGAGGAGCAUCUUCGAUAACAUGUGGCUGAUCAAAGUUGAUGCCUUUAAUGUUUGGGUACUUGGACACAAUCAUAUUGAGAGUGGCACCAAUGCCACCACCAACAUCAACCAAAGAAGUCAAGCCCUCGAAACCCUUAUAAGUCUCAAGAAUCUUCUUCAUUGUGAUGCUUGAUAGGUUAGCCAUUCCGUUGUUGAAGACCUUGCUGAAUCUAGUGUCAGUCUCAAGGUACUCGAAACAGCUCAUUCCAUAAGCCUUGUUGAAUGGGAUCCCACCUUCAAGAAUUGCAUCUGUCAUAUGGUACCUGCACAACUCAUAUAUAUAUAUUUGGUAGUGAGCCCAAAACAAAAACAAAUGUGUCUAGGACUCUUAAAUGUUUUUUUUUUUGUCAUUCUUCUUUUUAAAAGAAAAUUAUACUGUCAUUCUUUCUAUACAUUAUUUCAUUCUUCUUCAAUUUACUUAUUUUUUUCUAAUAAUAUUCAUGCGAAAAUAGUAAUUGUUUAAAAUCUUUUUUUAUUUACCAGCUUUCCAUGCCGACCUUGUCUUGGUUCACAAGACAAAGAGCAGCGAUGGAGACGCCGUCUUCGUUCUUGGUCAAAUACUUGCAAACGGGACCGAGCCCGUAAAGCCGUUCAACGCCGUCGCCGUCAGGGAGUGUACGGAGGGAGCAGGUGAGGAUGGAGUAAGCCGCAAGAAGCCGGAGGAUACGGUCGAGCAUGACCGGAGCUUCAGGGUUUUUGGUCGGGAGAUGGGAAGCGAUCUCAGAGGGAGACAUGGGAGAAGAGUUCUUGGCCAUGAUCUCGAGAAUUCCGAGCUCUAUAACCGGUUUCAAAGCCAUCGGAAGAACAGGGGCAUGGGCUAGCUGCAUGGCGAAGAGGGCAGCUUCGUCGUCGUCGGUAACUUGCACCGGAG
RNAcentral lists this long non-coding RNA (12720 nucleotides) under Eutrema salsugineum. Its description in RNAcentral is "long non-coding RNA (ESAL_LNC001175)". Lineage: Eukaryota; Viridiplantae; Streptophyta; Magnoliopsida; Brassicales; Brassicaceae. The record is from RNAcentral.